CCCGACUGCUAUUUGGGUGAGGAUAAGCCAUGCGAGUUGAAUGGGAAACCUAAAGUUCCCAUGGCAAACUGCUCAGUAACACAUGAUCAACUUACCCUAUAGAGAAAAAUAACCUCGGGAAACUGAGGAUAAUGUUUCAUAGCUGAAUUGGCUUGGAAAAGUUUUUCGGCGAAAGGGGUAAAAAAAAUGGUUUUUAUCUGCUAUAGGAUAGGAUCGUGUUCGAUUAUGGUUGUUGGUGAGGUAAUGGCUCACCAAGCCGAUAAUCGAUAGGGGCCGUGAGAGCGGGAGCCCCGAGAUGGGUACUGAGACAACGACCCAGGCCUUACGAGGCGCAGCAGGCGCGAAACCUCCGCAAUACACGAAAGUGUGACGGGGUUACCCAAAGUGUUCAAUAGAACUGUGGUAGGUGAGUAAUGUUCCCUACUAGAAAGGAGAGGGCAAGGCUGGUGCCAGCCGCCGCGGUAAAACCAGCUCUUCAAGUGGUCGGGAUAAUUAUUGGGCUUAAAGUGUCCAUAGCCGGUUUAGUAAGUUCCUGGUAAAAUCGGGUAGCUUAACUAUCUAUAUGCUAGGAAUACUACUAUACUAGAGGGCGGGAGAGGUCUGAGGUACUACAGGGGUAGGGGUGAAAUCUUAUAAUCCUUGUUGGACCACCAGUGGCGAAGGCGUCAGACUGGAACGCGCCUGACGGUGAGGGACGAAAGCCAGGGGAGCGAACCGGAUUAGAUACCCGGGUAGUCCUGGCCGUAAACGAUGCAUACUAGGUGAUGGCACGGCCAUGAGCCGUGUCAGUGCCGUAGGGAAACCGUUAAGUGUGCCGCCUGGGAAGUACGGUCGCAAGGCUAAAACUUAAAGGAAUUGGCGGGGGAGCACCACAAGGGGUGAAGC
Molecule: ribosomal RNA, 885 nt
Filed under: uncultured archaeon
Lineage: Archaea
Description: bacterial SSU rRNA
Rfam family: Archaeal small subunit ribosomal RNA
Source: RNAcentral